UGCGUAGGGGGCAAGCGUUGUCCGGAUUUAUUGGGCGUAAAGAGCGUGUAGGCGGCCAGUCAGGUCCGUUGUGAAAACUCGAGGCUCAACCUCGAGACGCCGAUGGAAACCGACUGGCUAGAGUCCGGAAGAGGAGAGUGGAAUUCCCGGUGUAGCGGUGAAAUGCGCAGAUAUCGGGAAGAACACCCGUGGCUAAGGCGGGUCUCUGGGCCGAUACUGACGCUGAGGAGCGAAAGCGUGGGGAGCGAACAGG
Molecule: ribosomal RNA, 253 nt
Filed under: uncultured bacterium
Lineage: Bacteria
Description: partial 16S ribosomal RNA
Rfam family: Bacterial small subunit ribosomal RNA
Source: RNAcentral